RNAcentral lists this unclassified non-coding RNA (311 nucleotides) under plant metagenome. Its description in RNAcentral is "partial contains 5.8S ribosomal RNA, internal transcribed spacer 2, and large subunit ribosomal RNA". The stretch from base 1 to 105 matches the Rfam family "5.8S ribosomal RNA", at positions 50 to 154 of the family's 154-position model. The record is from RNAcentral.
GAAAUGCGAUAAGUAAUGUGAAUUGCAGAAUUCCGUGAAUCAUCGAAUCUUUGAACGCACAUUGCGCCCUCUGGCAUUCCGGGGGGGAUGCCUGUCCGAGCGUCAUUACGCACCCUCAAGCCCGGCUUGUGUGAUGGGCCCCGGCGUCUCGUUCGCGAGACGGGCCCGAAAGGCAGCGGCGGCGUCGACCCGAUGAGCCCGAGCGUAUGGGGACUUCUGUCACACGUUCGCGGUGCGGACCGGCGCCUGCUUGACUUUUCUGAUUAUCCAGGUUGACCUCGGAUCAGGUAGGGAUACCCGCUGAACUUAAG